ACGGAAGGCAGCAGUGAGGAAUAUUGGUCAAUGGGCGAGAGCUUGAACCAGCCAAGUCGCGUGCGGGACGAAGGCCCUACGGGUCGUAAACCGCUUUUAUACGGGAAUAAAGUGCGCCACGCGUGGCGUUUUGCAGGUACCGUAGGAAUAAGGAUCGGCUAACUCCGUGCCAGCAGCCGCGGUAAUACGGAGGAUCCGAGCGUUAUCCGGAUUUAUUAGGUUUAAAGGGUGCGCAGGCGGGACAUUAAGUCGGCGGUGAAAUACCGUGGCCCAACCACGGGGCUGCCGUCGAUACUGAUGACCUAGAGUGCGUGUGACGUAGGCGGAAUGUGACGUGUAGCGGUGAAAUGCUUAGAUAUGUCACAGAACACCGAUUGCGAAGGCAGCCUACGAAUGCGUAACUGACGCUCAUGCACGAAAGCGCGGGUAGCGAACAGGAUUAGAUACCCUGGUA
Molecule: ribosomal RNA, 454 nt
Filed under: uncultured Petrimonas sp.
Lineage: Bacteria; Pseudomonadati; Bacteroidota; Bacteroidia; Bacteroidales; Dysgonomonadaceae
Description: partial 16S ribosomal RNA
Rfam family: Bacterial small subunit ribosomal RNA
Source: RNAcentral